This 292-nucleotide ribosomal RNA is filed under the name uncultured bacterium. RNAcentral describes it as "partial 16S ribosomal RNA". It matches the Rfam family "Bacterial small subunit ribosomal RNA", at positions 505 to 796 of the family's 1533-position model. The record is from RNAcentral.
GUGUCAGCCGCCGCGGUAAGACAGAGGUGCCGAGCGUUAGGCGGAAUCACUGGGCUUAAAGCGUGUGUAGGCGGGCCCGUAAGUACCUUGUGAAAUCCCACCGCUCAACGGUGGAACUGCUCGGUAUACUGCGGGUCUUGAGCCACCUAGGGGCAGCCGGAACAAGCGGUGGAGCGGUGAAAUGCGUAGAUAUCGCUUGGAACGCCAACGGUGAAAACAGACUGCUGGGGGUGUGCUGACGCUGAGACACGAAAGCCAGGGGAGCGAACGGGAUUAGAUACCCGCGUAGUCC